AUUGAACGCUGGCGGCAGGCCUAACACAUGCAAGUCGAGCGGAUGAAGGGAGCUUGCUCCUGGAUUCAGCGGCGGACGGGUGAGUAAUGCCUAGGAAUCUGCCUGGUAGUGGGGGAUAACGUCCGGAAACGGGCGCUAAUACCGCAUACGUCCUGAGGGAGAAAGUGGGGGAUCUUCGGACCUCACGCUAUCAGAUGAGCCUAGGUCGGAUUAGCUAGUUGGUGGGGUAAAGGCCUACCAGGGCGACGAUCCGUAACUGGUCUGAGAGGAUGAUCAGUCACACUGGAACUGAGACACGGUCCAGACUCCUACGGGAGGCAGGAGGGGGGAAUAUUGGACAAUGGGCGAAAGCCUGAUCCAGCCAUGCCGCGUGUGUGAAGAAGGUCUUCGGAUUGUAAAGCACUUUAAGUUGGGAGGAAGGGCAGUAAGUUAAUACCUUGCUGUUUUGACGUUACCAACAGAAUAAGCACCGGCGAACUUCGU
Molecule: ribosomal RNA, 483 nt
Filed under: uncultured bacterium
Lineage: Bacteria
Description: partial 16S ribosomal RNA
Rfam family: Bacterial small subunit ribosomal RNA
Source: RNAcentral